RNAcentral lists this ribosomal RNA (774 nucleotides) under uncultured Neocallimastigales. RNAcentral describes it as "partial large subunit ribosomal RNA". It matches the Rfam family "Eukaryotic large subunit ribosomal RNA", at positions 26 to 628 of the family's 3401-position model. Lineage: Eukaryota; Fungi; Neocallimastigomycota; Neocallimastigomycetes; Neocallimastigales. The record is from RNAcentral.
CGCAUCUGUGCAUGCAGUAUAUCAAUAAGCGGAGGAAAAGAAACUAACAAGGAUUCCCCUAGUAACGGCGAGUGAAGCGGGAAGAGCUCAAAUUUGAAAUCUUAAAGGGUUUCCCUUUACGAAUUGUAGUUUAAAGAAGUGUUUUCUGUUGAGGUUUUGGUAAAAGUUCUUUGGAAUAGGACAUCAUAGAGGGUGAGAAUCCCGUAUUUGACCUUUACUUUCAACUUUGUGAUACACUUUCAAAGAGUCGGAUUGUUUGGGAAUGCAGUCCAAAAUGGGUGGUAAAUUUCAUCUAAAGCUAAAUAUUGGCGAGAGACCGAUAGCGAACAAGUACCGUGAGGGAAAGAUGAAAAGAACUUUGAAAAGAGAGUUAAACAGUACGUGAAAUUGUCAAAAGGGAAGCGUUUGACACCAGUGUUGUUUUUCUGAAAAUCAAUUAAAGAACUGUUUAUGCUAAGCUGUUUAGACUUUAUCAGCUAACUGUUUAGUUUUGAGCUUUUCUUUAAUGCACUUUUCAGUUAACAAGUCAACAUCAAUUUCUUUUGCUGUAAAAAAGCUUGAGGAAGGUGGCUUGAGAUUCGUCUUAAGUGUUUAUAGCCUCUUGCCUAUGCAGUCGGAGAGAUUGAGGUCUGCAGCGUAGAUCCUUCGGGGCUAAAUGCAUUUGUGCUAAGUUAUAGCAUUUUAUAGACAACUUGUUGACUAUGAUUUGUCUUGUAGCUUACUCGCUUAUGUUAUUUUACCUACGCUUAGGAUGUUGAGUCGUAGAGCACGCAG